RNAcentral lists this transfer RNA (72 nucleotides) under Marmota monax (woodchuck). RNAcentral describes it as "tRNA.Ser". The record is from RNAcentral. Lineage: Eukaryota; Metazoa; Chordata; Mammalia; Rodentia; Sciuridae.
GGGGAUGUAGCUCAAGUGGUAGUGCGCUCACCUGGAAUGUGCGCGGCGCUGGGUUCGAUACUCAGCACCACA